RNAcentral lists this ribosomal RNA (332 nucleotides) under uncultured Chloroflexota bacterium. RNAcentral describes it as "bacterial SSU rRNA". It matches the Rfam family "Bacterial small subunit ribosomal RNA", at positions 28 to 351 of the family's 1533-position model. Lineage: Bacteria; Bacillati; Chloroflexota. The record is from RNAcentral.
GAUGAACGCUGGCGGCGUGCCUAAUACAUGCAAGUCGAACGGGGUUGUUGUAGCAAUACGACAACUUAGUGGCGAACGGGUGAGUAACGCGUUGGUGACCUGCCCCGAAGAGGGGAGUAACAGUCCGAAAGGAUUGCUAAUACCCCAUGUGGUUAUCGGGAUCAGAAUCUGAUAACUAAAGUCGUAAGACACUUUGGGAGGGACCUGCGUCCCAUCAGCUAGUUGGUAAGGUAACGGCCUACCAAGGCUAUGACGGGUAGGGGACCGUGAGAGGGUGGACCCCACCAAUGGCGACUGAAACAACGGGCCGACUACACCUACCGGGUGGGCUG